RNAcentral lists this ribosomal RNA (345 nucleotides) under uncultured bacterium. Its description in RNAcentral is "bacterial SSU rRNA". It matches the Rfam family "Bacterial small subunit ribosomal RNA", at positions 32 to 368 of the family's 1533-position model. The record is from RNAcentral.
AAUCAACGCUGGCGGCGUGCCUCAGACAUGCAAGUCGAACGAUUAAAGCUCUCUUCGGAGAGUGUAUAGAGUGGCGCACGGGUGAGUAACACGUAAGUAAUCUACCUUUGAGUGGGGAAUAACCCGGGAACCCGAGCUAAUACCGCAUAAUGCAGCGGCAUCGCAAGAUGACAGUUGUUAAAGGAGCAAUCCGCUUAAAGAGGAGCUUGCGGCAGAUUAGCUAGUUGGUAAGGUAAUAGGCUUACCAAGGCUACGAUCUGUAUCCGGUCUAAGAGGACGGUCGGACACACUGACACUGAAUAACGGGUCAGACUCCUACGGGAGGCAGCAGUCGGGAAUUUUGGG